CUGGGAUUAGAUACCCUGUUAUUAAAAAUGUAAAAUUUAUAGAUAGAGUAGUAAUAGUUAUAUUCUUGAAACUUAAAAAAUUUGGCGGUAUUUUAAUCUAAUCAGAGGAACUUGUUUUAUAAUUGAUAGUCCACAUUAAAUCUUACUUAAUUUUGUUUAAUUUGUAUAUCGUCGUCAUAAGAAUAUCUUAAAAAAGAAAAAAUUUUCUUGAAUUUUAAUUUAAAUAAAUGUCAGAUCAAGGUGCAGUUUAUAGUUAAGUAAAAAUGAGUUACAAUAAAUUUAUUUAUAUGGAUAAUAGUUUGAAAAAAUUAUAGGAAGGUGGAUUUGAUAGUAAAAUGGUCUAUUUAAACUAUUUGAUUUUAGUUCUAAAAUAUGUACAAAUCGCCCG
This 388-nucleotide ribosomal RNA is filed under the name Leptomorphus sevciki. Its description in RNAcentral is "partial 12S ribosomal RNA". Lineage: Eukaryota; Metazoa; Arthropoda; Insecta; Diptera; Mycetophilidae. The record is from RNAcentral.